This 83-nucleotide transfer RNA is filed under the name marine eukaryotic metagenome. It matches the Rfam family "tRNA". From Rfam's summary of the family: Transfer RNA (tRNA) molecules are approximately 80 nucleotides in length. The record is from RNAcentral.
GAGAGGUGGCUGAGUGGCUUAAGGCGCCGCUCUCGAAAAGCGGUGUACGGCAACGUACCGCGGGUUCGAAUCCCGCCCUCUCC